CAAUGCUGAAACUUACAUAUGUAAGGAUGGUGUUGAUUCAAAUUUCAAUGUUUAUAUACUCAAUACUUACUGCAUGUCGCUUGCAGACAAAUUUUGCUUUACAACUGCACAUAGUAUCAUUCCAUUUACCAUUGACAUACAUGUGACAACAGUUUUCGCCUUGAUUUUUGUGAUUAUUCGGUUCCCCGGUAUUCCAAUUAGAGUAAGUCAAAGGUGAGUAAUCAUAUGACCAGAGCCAAGUUCCUGCAUCAAAAUUUGUUGCUCCAAUCCAGCAAAGUUGAGUACCUGCAGAACAAAAAUGUGUCUUUCAAUUUUUCUUACUCGGAACAGGUGUUAACAUGCAACAGGGUAAACAUGUUUUAUGACAAUCCUAGUCAGUAAAGAUUAGGAUUUAGUGCCCCCGCACGGUUUGGGUUCAAAGUCACAACCUCAGUGUUGACUGACUUUAUUUAUAGCUAGUAAUUACAGUAGUAGAACUACUCAGAACACAUCGCCACAAAUAUGUAUAGCUAGUAAUUAUAGUAGUAGAACUACUUAGAACACAUGGCCACACACCCCCUUCCGAGAAUACGAAAAAACACUAAGCUACAUAAAAAUGAUAAACAUGAACUAAAAAAGAACUACUAGCAGUUACUGAUAUGCUAGCUCAAAACCUCAAUCAAGUCAUUAAAAAAGUAUGUCUUCGUCGUAUGAAAAUCAAGCACAAUCCAUCUAGUAGGAUUUAAUUAUCAUAGCAUCACAAUAUAUACGAGUGGAACCUAACCCGUACCAUGCAUGCAAACAACUUGUUUUUGAAUGAAUGUUUUGUAUUUCAAUGCAAUGGGACUAUGAGUAUCAUUAUUAAUCCC
RNAcentral lists this long non-coding RNA (848 nucleotides) under Mytilus galloprovincialis (Mediterranean mussel). The record is from RNAcentral. Lineage: Eukaryota; Metazoa; Mollusca; Bivalvia; Mytilida; Mytilidae.